Molecule: ribosomal RNA, 253 nt
Filed under: uncultured bacterium
Lineage: Bacteria
Description: partial 16S ribosomal RNA
Rfam family: Bacterial small subunit ribosomal RNA
Source: RNAcentral
UACGUAGGGUGCAAGCGUUGUCCGGAAUUAUUGGGCGUAAAGAGCUCGUAGGCGGUUCGUCGCGUCGGCUGUGAAAUCCCGAGGCUCAACCUCGGGCUUGCAGUGGAUACGGGCAGACUAGAGUGCGGUAGGGGAGACUGAAAUUCCUGGUGUAGCGGUGGAAUGCGCAGAUAUCAGGAGGAACACCGAUGGCGAAGGCAGGUCUCUGGGCCGCAACUGACGCUGAGGAGCGAAAGCAUGGGGAGCGAACAGG